CCUGGUUUCAGAAGCUUCAACAAGGGCCAGGAUAACAGGUAUCCCACCAACAGGGCGGAUUGUAUCUCCAAUCACACACUGCCUGCAAACAUAGAUAUCCCCAUGAAGACGUCCGAAUCGUGGUAUCCCCCCAAUAGGAGAAGCAGCAGCUGACAUAGGGUCAACCAGAUUAAGCAAGGAGAAUGUCCCAGAUGCUCGAAUAGCUUCGGUACAAGUUCCAUCAAAUGCAAAAAUAAGUUUCUUUCCACAGAGCUGCAAUGAAAGGUUGCUUAGCCUCUCCAAAUCCCAAACAAUCCCACUGCCAUCAGACUUAG
Molecule: unclassified non-coding RNA, 314 nt
Filed under: Hevea brasiliensis (rubber tree)
Lineage: Eukaryota; Viridiplantae; Streptophyta; Magnoliopsida; Malpighiales; Euphorbiaceae
Source: RNAcentral